This 552-nucleotide ribosomal RNA is filed under the name uncultured bacterium. Its description in RNAcentral is "bacterial SSU rRNA". It matches the Rfam family "Bacterial small subunit ribosomal RNA", at positions 355 to 896 of the family's 1533-position model. The record is from RNAcentral.
UGGGGAAUAUUGGACAAUGGGCGAAAGCCUGAUCCAGCCAUGCCGCGUGUGUGAAGAAGGCCUUUUGGUUGUAAAGCACUUUAAGUGGGGAGGAAAAGCUUAUGGUUAAUACCCAUAAGCCCUGACGUUACCCGCAGAAUAAGCACCGGCUAACUCUGUGCCAGCAGCCGCGGUAAUACAGAGGGUGCAAGCGUUAAUCGGAAUUACUGGGCGUAAAGCGCGCGUAGGUGGUUAUUUAAGUCAGAUGUGAAAGCCCCGGGCUUAACCUGGGAACUGCAUCUGAUACUGGAUAACUAGAGUAGGUGAGAGGGGAGUAGAAUUCCAGGCGUAGCGGUGAAAUGCGUAGAGAUCUGGAGGAAUACCGAUGGCGAAGGCAGCUCCCUGGCAUCAUACUGACACUGAGGUGCGAAAGCGUGGGUAGCAAACAGGGAUUAGAUACCCUGGUAGUCCACGCCGUAAAACGAUGUCUACCAGUCGUUGGGUCUUUUAAAGACUUAGUGACGCAGUUAACGCAAUAAGUAGACCGCCUGGGGGAGUACGGCCGCAAGGUUA